UAGAGCUGCUAGCAGGACCAUUUUUCACUUAAUCAGUGGUCUCUACUAGUAUUAUAAUUUUGACUGAUAAUUUUAUAUUGUUUGAAGAGGAAACAAUGUUCAGAUUAUAGUAAAUUCUGUAUAUCAGCACCCAUACACUACGGAGUUUAAUGUACAUCACAACAGUCUUUUAAAAUAUGCUACUUGUUUGUUUUGUUGUAGUGUACUGCAUUUAAAAUAUAAAACAUUUAAGACAUAAGAAGAAAAAUAUUGAUACCUCAAUAGAAGCAGGAAGAUUCUGUGGUAUAGUCCUAAAUUUAUUUUUUCCUAGACGCAGGUAGUAUAGGCUCUUCAAAGGUUUGAAAGCUAAAGGAUUGACGCUGGAUUCACUGAGACUGUUUCCUUCCAAUUCUAAGACUUUUUUUUACUUUUGGCCUCUGGGUCUUAAUACUUAUUUUUACUAAAAUAGCAUGCUGCCUUAUGACUAAAGAGGGAAUAAUAUUGCCACAUGAUGCGAAAUGAUAUUUACUCGAAGAUGUUCAAUGUUAUGAUUUACUGUUCAAAAUGCUGCCAUAUAGCAGGCUAUGAAAACUCAAAAAAAAAAGGAGUUUCUUUAUUUUGUCCAAAAUCAAUGUGAAAAGUAACAAGCAGAAAAAAAGAAAACAAAACUGCAAACUUCAUGUUUGAUUUGUCACCAGCCAAUUUCUAGAAUGAGAAUGAAACACAAUUUCGAGGCUCCCUCACCGUCAAUAUUCUCUGGGACAGAAGGCCUUCUCUACACAGUUAGGGAGUGUGAAGGAGACUCUGAAACCCCAUGCAUUUUAAGGACCCAGGAUUGCAAAAGCUUUGCUGCUGUCAUCUUUUAAUGAGAAUUUAAGUAAUCUGCUGAUAUCCAUACACCACUCUCUUAGAGAUCUACUUCAAAACCUAGAGG
This is a long non-coding RNA of Trichechus manatus latirostris (Florida manatee), 913 nucleotides long. RefSeq lists it as uncharacterized. Lineage: Eukaryota; Metazoa; Chordata; Mammalia; Sirenia; Trichechidae. The transcript is spliced from 6 exons. The record is from RefSeq and is a predicted model, not a curated record.